This 749-nucleotide long non-coding RNA is filed under the name Homo sapiens (human). RNAcentral describes it as "HSALNT0352738". The record is from RNAcentral. Lineage: Eukaryota; Metazoa; Chordata; Mammalia; Primates; Hominidae.
UGACCGAGUAAAUGUGAAUAUUUUUUCACUUGAACACUCUGAUCUGUUUGGAACUUAAUUUCCUUACUCAUGAAAUUAAUAUAAUAAGGCUAAGUUGGUCAGUAGUUAAACUAACUAAAUUUGGCUGAAGAUUGCUAUGUUCACUAUGCAAAGAUUAGACCGUUAGUUCCCUGAGUGAAGAGAUGCUAUCUUGGUAUCUCCAGCUUCCAACCGGGGGCUUGGCACAGAAUAGGGGCUUGGUAAAUGUUUUCCAAAUGAAUGGGAUGUCUGAUGGAAAGAAGACAAGGUGAAGGAAUUCCUGGGUAAUAUGGAGAUGAGAAUCUGUGAGAAGGAUACAUGUACUGAUGCCUGUCGCGGUGGACACACAGACGCACACAUUGCGGAACACCACCAUAAGAAUAUUGAGAAUAUCGAGAACACUUCAAUAUUCCAAACUUCAAUGGAAAUAUACGUAGGUUUCACUUAACUAUGGUCCUGAUGGCUUUUUUGAAAAAGAAAGAAAGAAAAAAUGUUUUCAUCAUAUUAAGAAAAUGUCUUAGUCUUAGUUCAGAGAUUUCAUCAGAAAAUGAUGUUGAUUUAUAUAAAAGCUUUUUCAUAGAUAUAUCAAACCUAUAGAAAUUAUAAUGCAUUUUUCUCCUCUUUUGAUAUAUUGAUACAAUGCUGCAGAUCUUCUAAGAUUGAAUGAUCCUUGCAUUACUGAAAUAAGUAUUGUCAUAGUGUAUUAUCAUUUUAUUACAGUAUGCAUUUGA